RNAcentral lists this non-coding RNA (29 nucleotides) under Rattus norvegicus (Norway rat). The record is from RNAcentral. Lineage: Eukaryota; Metazoa; Chordata; Mammalia; Rodentia; Muridae.
UCAAACAUGUCUUGAUGAACUAAUCCUUC